GGGCUAUUAGCUCAGUCGGUUAGAGCGCACGCUUGAUAAGCGUGAGGUCCCUGGUUCGAGUCCAGGAUGGCCCA
Molecule: transfer RNA, 74 nt
Filed under: Pseudomonadota bacterium
Lineage: Bacteria; Pseudomonadati; Pseudomonadota
Also listed under: 2 other names
Description: tRNA-Ile
Rfam family: tRNA
About the family: Transfer RNA (tRNA) molecules are approximately 80 nucleotides in length.
Source: RNAcentral